GACGAACGCUGGCGGCAUGCCUAAUACAUGCAAGUCGAGCGGACAGAAGGGAGCUUGCUCCCGAAAGUCAGCGGCGGACGGGUGAGUAACACGUGGGCAACCUGCCCCUUAGAUUGGGAUAACUUCGGGAAACCGAAGCUAAUACCGAAUAAUACAAGGAACCUCCUGGUUCUCUGUUGAAAGAUGGCCUUUGUGCUGUCACUAAGGGAUGGGCCCGCGGCGCAUUAGCUAGUUGGUAAGGUAACGGCUUACCAAGGCGACGAUGCGUAGCCGACCUGAGAGGGUGAUCGGCCACACUGGGACUGAGACAUGGCCCAGACUCCUACGGGAGGCAGCAGUAGGGAAUCUUCCGCAAUGGACGAAAGUCUGACGGAGCAAUGCCGCGUGAGUGAGGAAGGCCUUCGGGUCGUAAAGCUCUGUUGUGAGGGAAGAACAAGUACCGGCGUAACUACCGGUACCGUGACGGUACCUCACCAGAAAGCCACGGCUAACUACGUGCCAGCCGCCGCGGUAA
This 514-nucleotide ribosomal RNA is filed under the name uncultured bacterium. RNAcentral's name for it is "partial 16S ribosomal RNA". It matches the Rfam family "Bacterial small subunit ribosomal RNA", at positions 28 to 523 of the family's 1533-position model. The record is from RNAcentral.